This is a long non-coding RNA of Macrobrachium nipponense, 411 nucleotides long. RefSeq lists it as uncharacterized. The record is from RefSeq and is a predicted model, not a curated record. The transcript is spliced from 3 exons. NCBI's taxonomy places the organism in Eukaryota, Metazoa, Arthropoda, Malacostraca, Decapoda, Palaemonidae.
UUGGCUGAUGGGCAAAGCAUUCAGCAUCAAGCACAAGUGGCUACUGUUGAUGAAAAUCAAGUGGAAGGAGAAAAAACAGAUGAAGAGAAAAAAAUUGAACAUCAAGACAAGCAAGAGUUUUCUCCAGUUGCAGACAUUUUUGGUUCACAUGCAAUAAGCAUAAAUCGUUGCACACGUUGUUGUCAUGAAAUUCAUAAAGAUACUACAUCUCUUCUUGUUAACCUCUCAUAUCCAGAAGUAAAUGGAGAUUCCCCACCUGGCUUCGUUCCGUUUUCAAGCAUAGUAGAAAGAAGCAUGGGCUUGGAACAAACUAGGCAAGCAUGGUGUGAUUCAUGCACAAGAUACCAACCCAUUGAGCAGUGGAGACGUUACAGGACUUUACCAAAUAUUCUGGCUACGAAUUGUGGCCUA